This 804-nucleotide long non-coding RNA is filed under the name Mytilus galloprovincialis (Mediterranean mussel). Lineage: Eukaryota; Metazoa; Mollusca; Bivalvia; Mytilida; Mytilidae. The record is from RNAcentral.
AAAUGUCAAAAAUUUCAAAAGGUUCAAAAUGCUACAAAAUUGAUGAAACUUAACAGGAUUGUUGACUGUCAAAUCUGCAUGAGACUUUUGAAGUUGGAAUUUCAAAAAUGGCUACCGUUGCCAUGGAAACUGGAAAAAUGUCAAAUAUUUUCGAAAUGCUCCAAACUUAGUGAAACUUAAUUUUAUUGUAAACUGGCAUGUAUAGAUGAGACUUUUGACUUUGAAAAUUUCAAAAUGGCUGCCGUUGCCAUGGAAACAGCAAAAAUGUCAUGUUUUUAAAAAUGAUCUACAUGUACUGAAAAUUUACAGAAAAAUGUAUAGCCAUGCAAAUAUGUGCAUUCACUAUUAAAAGUUUUUGAAAUGGCUGCCGCUUAGUGGCAAUGGGGGAAGGGGUGACAUCCGCUAUUGCUUGCAAUAGCAAUUCUAGUUAUUCUUAUUCUUCCAAUGAUUUUGUCCGGCAGUUUUCUUGGAGACAAUGGAACCAAUCUUAAUGAUAGUUGACUAUAAUGAGGAACACAAAAUUCCGGGUUGCAGUAGGUCAUAAGACCAUUAAAAAUGGCUGCCGUUACCAUGGAAACGGAACAAAUGUGAAAAAUUCAAUUUUUGGGUUUUGGUGAAUAAUUUGGAGAUGCUUAAACUCAGAAUCAUUAUAUUUUGAUACAAUGUAGGUACCGGCCAUAUACUGGUUUUGGAUGAUUUUGGCAAUCAUUGGAACUACUAUGUUGUCAUGGAAACUACACCAAAAAUUUCCAAAAUAUCAAAAUGCUCCAAAUUUUUUGAAACCUUAGCAUAACGAUGAGCAAC